CUACGGGCGGCUGCAGUGGGGAAUAUUGCACAAUGGAGGAAACUCUGAUGCAGCCAUGCCGCGUGUGUGAAGAAGGCCCGAGGGUUGUAAAGCACUUUCAAUUGGGAGGAAGGUUAUGUAGCUAAUACCUGCAUAAUUUGACGUUACCUUUAGAAGAAGCACCGGCUAACUCUGUGCCAGCAGCCGCGGUAAUACAGAGGGUGCAAGCGUUAUUCGGAAUUACUGGGCGUAAAGCGCGCGUAGGCGGAUUGUUAAGUCAGAUGUGAAAGCCCUGGGCUCAACCUGGGAACGGCAUUUGAUACUGGCAGUCUAGAGUUUAAGAGAGGGAAGGGGAAUUUCUAGUGUAGCAGUGAAAUGCGUAGAUAUUAGAAGGAACAUCAGUGGCGAAGGCGCCUUCCUGGCUUAAAACUGACGCUGAGGUGCGAAAGCGUGGGUAGCGAACGGGAUUGAUACCCUAGUAGUC
This 463-nucleotide ribosomal RNA is filed under the name uncultured bacterium. Its description in RNAcentral is "partial 16S ribosomal RNA". It matches the Rfam family "Bacterial small subunit ribosomal RNA", at positions 339 to 795 of the family's 1533-position model. The record is from RNAcentral.